RNAcentral lists this ribosomal RNA (476 nucleotides) under uncultured bacterium. RNAcentral describes it as "bacterial SSU rRNA". It matches the Rfam family "Bacterial small subunit ribosomal RNA", at positions 24 to 518 of the family's 1533-position model. The record is from RNAcentral.
UCAGGACGAACGCUGGCGGCGUGCCUAACACAUGCAAGUCGAGCGAGGAGAUCCUUCGGGAUGAUCCUAGCGGCGGACGGGUGAGUAACACGUGGGCAACCUGCCUCAUAGAGAGGAAUAGCCUUCCGAAAGGGAGAUUAAUACCCCAUAACAUUGCAGUUUCGCAUGGAACAGCAAUUAAAGGAGUAAUCCGCUAUGAGAUGGGCCCGCGGCGCAUUAGCUAGUUGGUGAGGUAAUGGCUCACCAAGGCGACGAUGCGUAGCCGACCUGAGAGGGUGAUCGGCCACAUUGGGACUGAGACACGGCCCAGACUCCUACGGGAGGCAGCAGUGGGGAAUAUUGCACAAUGGGGGAAACCCUGAUGCAGCAACGCCGCGUGAGUGAUGACGGCCUUCGGGUUGCAAAGCUCUGUCUUCAGGGACGAUAAUGACGGUACCUGAGGAGGAAGCCACGGCUAACUACGUGCCAGCCGCUGC